GUCCGCCCGGGGAAGGGUAUUCUGUGUUCCUGACUUGCAUUUUGGUUUAUUCCGGGCGCGAGGGCAGCCGUUGAUUGUGAAUGUUUUAGUAAUCCUAAAAUAGAACCGAGUAGUUCUGGGAGAGGGGCUAUAAGGAGUUAGUGUUGAAUGAGUGCAGAGUUUCUUUUGGGGAAGAUGAACAAAUUCUGGAGAUGGAUGGUGGACACGGUGCGCAACAAUGUGAACGGGUUAAUGCCUCUGUGCUGCACGCUGAAAAACGGCUAACCUGAAGUUAGCCAGCAGGUCCUGAGGACACUCAAGCUGUCUAUGGAGGGGCCCCCGUGUGGAGGAACUGAGCUCCCAGUCAGCAUCAGCACCAGGUUGCCGGACAUGUGAAAUGGAAAUGGAUCCUCCAGCCCCAGUCAAGCCUUCAGAUGGAUGCAGCCUCAGCCCCUGUCUUGAGAGAGGCCUCAGGAGAAGCUAAACCUGCCCACACCUUGAUCUCAAACUUCCAGCCUCCAGAACUGUGAGAAGUAAAUUUCCGAUGGUUAAGCUGCCCGGUCUGUAGUAUUUUGUUAUGGCGGCUCAAGCUGAUUAAUGCAAUAGGUAAAUACAUAAAAUCCAUAGAAAAAAGCCUAGGAGGAUACACUUUAAACUGAAAAGAGUGUUUGGUGAAGGUGAGUAGCACUGAUGGUGAGGCCGGCCCCGUGGCUGAGUGGUUGGGUUUGCACGCUCCGCUUCAGCGGCCCAUGGUUUCUCUGUGUUGAAUCCUGGGCGUGGACAUGGCACCUGUGGCAGCGUCCCGCAUGCCACAACUGGAGGGACCCACAACUGAGAGUACAUAGCUGUGUGCCAGGGGGGCUUUGGAGAGGAAAAGGAAAAAUAAAAUCUUAAAAAAAAAAAAGUGGUACUGAUGGUGUUGGCCAAAGAAAAAUGUUAAUUAUAGAUUCUAGGUGGUAGGUUUGUAACUGUUCAGUGUAAAAUUCUCUCAACUUUUCUGUAUGUUUGAAAAUUUUUGUAAUAAACUAUUGAGAGGGUUCGAAAGGACUCUGGAACCAGCUUCAAGAGCCCCCCAACCACUGGAACCGUGAGCCUCAAAAAGAAGAAAAAACUGCAUAUGGUUGACAUAAAGUAUGUUUAAAUCCAUUUGUUCAUAAUCCUACUAAAAAAGAAACCUUGUUGAUCACAGGUGAUUGUUGCUGGGAAAUUAUGUCAUUAUUCUAAAGACAAAAGACUCUAGCAACAAAUAAGUAAUCUUGCCUUUCUUUUCUUUUUUCUUUUUGAG
This 1264-nucleotide long non-coding RNA is filed under the name Equus asinus (donkey). RNAcentral's name for it is "lncRNA (ENSEASG00005023931.1)". Lineage: Eukaryota; Metazoa; Chordata; Mammalia; Perissodactyla; Equidae. The record is from RNAcentral.